This 387-nucleotide ribosomal RNA is filed under the name uncultured Pseudomonas sp. RNAcentral describes it as "bacterial SSU rRNA". It matches the Rfam family "Bacterial small subunit ribosomal RNA", at positions 1000 to 1382 of the family's 1533-position model. Lineage: Bacteria; Pseudomonadati; Pseudomonadota; Gammaproteobacteria; Pseudomonadales; Pseudomonadaceae. The record is from RNAcentral.
CCAGAGAUGGAUUGGUGCCGUUCGGGAACUCUGACACAGGUGCUGCAUGGCUGUCGUCAGCUCGUGUCGUGAGAUGGUUGGGUUAACGUCCCGUAACGAGCGCCAACCCUUGUCCUUAGUUACCAGCACGUUAUGGUGGGCACUCUAAGGAGACUGCCGGUGACAAACCGGAGGAAGGUGGGGAUGACGUCAAGUCAUCAUGGCCCUUACGGCCUGGGCUACACACGUGCUACAAUGGUCGGUACAAAGGGUUGCCAAGCCGCGAGGUGGAGCUAAUCCCAUAAAACCGAUCGUAGUCCGGAUCGCAGUCUGCAACUCGACUGCGUGAAGUCGGAAUCGCUAGUAAUCGUGAAUCAGAAUGUCACGGUGAAUACGUUCCCGGGCCUU